AUGGAAGGCCUAUUGCAUUGGAACUUUGCCCCGGGCUUAGCCUUGGUGGAUCAAGUGAGAAGAAAAUUUGGUUCUACGGUGCAUUUCUCCCCCUCUUGCGACCCCAAGGAGUUUUUCCUCGUGGUUACCUUCUCUUCAGCCUCUUACCCACUCACGAAAGAAUCGGUGGGUCUUGCACUUCAAUGUUGCAUUGGGGGUUUUCAUGUUGGAUUCAAAGUGCACAAAAUUAAUCCCUGA
This 237-nucleotide ribosomal RNA is filed under the name Triticum aestivum (bread wheat). RNAcentral describes it as "partial small subunit ribosomal RNA". The record is from RNAcentral. Lineage: Eukaryota; Viridiplantae; Streptophyta; Magnoliopsida; Poales; Poaceae.